RNAcentral lists this ribosomal RNA (445 nucleotides) under uncultured bacterium. RNAcentral's name for it is "bacterial SSU rRNA". It matches the Rfam family "Bacterial small subunit ribosomal RNA", at positions 354 to 796 of the family's 1533-position model. The record is from RNAcentral.
GUAAGGAAUAUUGGUCAAUGGAGGCAACUCUGAACCAGCCAUGCCGCGUGCAGGAUGACGGCCCUCUGGGUUGUAAACUGCUUUUAUUCGGGAAUAAACCUACUUACGUGUAAGUAGCUGAAUGUACCGAAGGAAUAAGGAUCGGCUAACUCCGUGCCAGCAGCCGCGGUAAUACGGAGGAUCCAAGCGUUAUCCGGAUUUAUUGGGUUUAAAGGGUGCGUAGGCGGCCUAUUAAGUCAGGGGUGAAAGACGGUAGCUCAACUAUCGCAGUGCCUUUGAUACUGAUGGGCUUGAAUACACUAGAGGUAGGCGGAAUGUGACAAGUAGCGGUGAAAUGCAUAGAUAUGUCACAGAACACCGAUUGCGAAGGCAGCUUACUAUGGUGUGAUUGACGCUGAGGCACGAAAGCGUGGGGAUCAAACAGGAUUAGAAACCCCUGUAGUCC